ACCUUAAAGCUAGCCUAAUCAACUAUUAAAAUCUAACUCUAUUAAUUUCACCCACACCAUAAACUUAAACUAAAACAUUCUUUAACCUUAAGUAUGGGCGACAGAACAAGGACCA
This 115-nucleotide ribosomal RNA is filed under the name Cephaloscyllium umbratile (blotchy swell shark). Its description in RNAcentral is "partial 16S rRNA". Lineage: Eukaryota; Metazoa; Chordata; Chondrichthyes; Carcharhiniformes; Scyliorhinidae. The record is from RNAcentral.